GACGAACGCGGGGGCGUGCUUAACACAUGCAAGUCGAACGGUGAAGGGAUCAGCUUGCUGUUUCUGGAUGAGUGGCGAACGGGUGAGUAACACGUGAGUAACCUGCCCCCUUUUCUGGAUAACCGCAUGAAAGUGUGGCUAAUACGGGAUAUUCUGCGCCUGCUGCAUGGUGGGUGUGGGAAAGAUAUUGUUUCGGUGGGGGAUGGGCUCGCGGCCUAUCAGCUUGUUGGUGGGGUGAUGGCCUACCAAGGCGGUGACGGGUAGCCGGCCUGAGAGGGUGGACGGUCACACUGGGACUGAGACACGGCCCAGACUCCUACGGGAGGCAGCAGUGGGGAAUAUUGCACAAUGGGCGCAAGCCUGAUGCAGCGACGCCGCGUGAGGGAUGGAGGCCUUCGGGUUGUGAACCUCUUUCGCCAGUGAAGCAGGCCUGUCCCUUCUGUGGGUGGGUUGACG
RNAcentral lists this ribosomal RNA (456 nucleotides) under Actinomyces sp. oral taxon 175. RNAcentral describes it as "bacterial SSU rRNA". It matches the Rfam family "Bacterial small subunit ribosomal RNA", at positions 28 to 474 of the family's 1533-position model. The record is from RNAcentral. Lineage: Bacteria; Bacillati; Actinomycetota; Actinomycetes; Actinomycetales; Actinomycetaceae.